This 582-nucleotide ribosomal RNA is filed under the name uncultured bacterium. RNAcentral describes it as "partial 16S ribosomal RNA". It matches the Rfam family "Bacterial small subunit ribosomal RNA", at positions 355 to 1375 of the family's 1533-position model. The record is from RNAcentral.
UGGGGAAUUUUGGACAAUGGGCGAAAGCCUGAUCCAGCAAUGCCGCGUGUGUGAAGAAGGCCUUCGGGUUGUAAAGCACUUUUGUCCGGAAAGAAAUCCUUGGCUCUAAUACAGUCGGGGGAUGACGGUACCGGAAGAAUAAGCACCGGCUAACUACGUGCCAGCAGCCGCGGUAAUACGUAGGGUGCAAGCGUUAAUCGGAAUUACUGGGCGUAAAGCGUGCGCAGGCGGUUUGCUAAGACCGAUGUGAAAUCCCCGGGCUCAACCUGGGAACUGCAUUGGUGACUGGCAGGCUAGAGUAUGGCAGAGGGGGUAGAAUUCCACGUGUAGCAGUGAAAUGCGUAGAGAUGUGGAGGAAUACCGAUGGCGAAGGCAGCCCCUGGGCCAAUACUGACGCUCAUGCACGAAAGCGUGGGGAGCAAGCAGGAUUAGAUACCCUGGUAGUCCACGCCCUAAACGAUGUCAACUAGUUGUUGGGGAUUCAUUCCUUAGUAACGUAGCUAACGCGUGAAGUUGACCGCCUGGGGAGUACGGUCGCAAGAUUAAAACUUAAAUGAAUUGACGGGGUCAUAGCUGUUUCCU